This 253-nucleotide ribosomal RNA is filed under the name uncultured bacterium. Its description in RNAcentral is "partial 16S ribosomal RNA". It matches the Rfam family "Bacterial small subunit ribosomal RNA", at positions 524 to 776 of the family's 1533-position model. The record is from RNAcentral.
UACAGAGGCUACGAGCGUUAGGCGGAAUCACUGGGCUUAAAGCGUGUGUAGGUGGAUGGGUAAGUACCUUGUGAAAUCCCACGGCUCAACCGUGGAACUGCUCGGUAUACUGCCUGUCUUGAGGCACUCAGGGGCGAGCGGAACAGAUGGUGGAGCGGUGAAAUGCGUAGAUAUCAUCUGGAACGCCAAUGGUGAAGACAGCUCGCUGGGGGUGUACUGACACUGAGACACGAAAGCCAGGGGAGCAAACGGG